This 161-nucleotide ribosomal RNA is filed under the name uncultured bacterium. RNAcentral describes it as "partial 16S ribosomal RNA". The record is from RNAcentral.
GCACGGAGUUAGCCGGUGCUUAUUCUUACGGUACCGUCAUGGACCCCCUUUAUUAGAAGGAGUCUUUUCGUUCCGUACAAAAGCAGUUUACAACCCGAAGGCCUUCAUCCUGCACGCGGCAUGGCUGGAUCAGGCUUGCGCCCAUUGUCCAAAAUUCCCCA